This 397-nucleotide ribosomal RNA is filed under the name uncultured bacterium. RNAcentral's name for it is "partial 16S ribosomal RNA". It matches the Rfam family "Bacterial small subunit ribosomal RNA", at positions 523 to 918 of the family's 1533-position model. The record is from RNAcentral.
AUACGUAGGGGGCGAGCGUUGUCCGGAAUGAUUGGGCGUAAAGGGCGCGUAGGCGGCGCGGUAAGUCUGGAGUGAAAGUCCUGCUUUCAAGGUGGGAAUUGCUUUGGAUACUGCCGCGCUUGAGUGCAGGAGAGGUUAUCGGAAUUCCCGGUGUAGCGGUGAAAUGCGUAGAGAUCGUGAGGAACACCAGUGGCGAAGGCGGGUAACUGGACUGCAACUGACGCUGAGGCGCGAAAGUGUGGGGAGCAAACAGGAUUAGAUACCCUGGUAGUCCACACUGUAAACGAUGAAUGCUAGGUGUAAGAGGUAUCGACCCCUUUUGUGCCGGAGUCAACACAAUAAGCAUUCCGCCUGGGGAGUACGGCCGCAAGGUUGAAACUCAAAGGAAUUGACGGGG